AAACCCGAUGAAUAGUGUAUGGAUAUCUAUAUUUUUUAACUUAUGGAUAAUGGACAGGGUACAACUAUAAAGAAACCCGACCUGUGGGUAC
RNAcentral lists this small RNA (91 nucleotides) under Salix viminalis (osier). The record is from RNAcentral. Lineage: Eukaryota; Viridiplantae; Streptophyta; Magnoliopsida; Malpighiales; Salicaceae.